AUUGAACGCUGGCGGCAUGCUUUACACAUGCAAGUCGAACGGUAACAGGUCUUCGGAUGCUGACGAGUGGCGAACGGGUGAGUAAUAUAUCGGAACGUGCCCAGUCGUGGGGGAUAACGUAGCGAAAGUUACGCUAAUACCGCAUACGAUCUACGGAUGAAAGCGGGGGACUCGCAAGAGCCUCGCGCGAUUGGAGCGGCCGAUAUCAGAUUAGCUAGUUGGUAGGGUAAAGGCCUACCAAGGCGACGAUCUGUAGCGGGUCUGAGAGGAUGAUCCGCCACACUGGGACUGAGACACGGCCCAGACUCCUACGGGAGGCAGCAGUGGGGAAUUUUCCGCAAUGGGCGAAAGCCUGACGGAGCAAUCUCGCGUGAGGGAUGACGGCCUAUGGGUUGUAAACCUCUUUUUCAGGGUAGGAAUAAAUGACGUGUACCUGAAGAAUAAGCAUCGGCUAACUCCGUGCCAGCAGCCGCGGU
RNAcentral lists this ribosomal RNA (476 nucleotides) under uncultured bacterium. Its description in RNAcentral is "bacterial SSU rRNA". It matches the Rfam family "Bacterial small subunit ribosomal RNA", at positions 30 to 521 of the family's 1533-position model. The record is from RNAcentral.